GCUCAGGAUGAACGCUAGCUACAGGCUUAACACAUGCAAGUCGAGGGGUAGCAGGGUAACAAUACCGCUGACGACCGGCGCACGGGUGAGUAACACGUAUCCAACCUUCCCAUAACUCGGAGAUAGCCUUUCGAAAGAAAGAUUAAUACCCGAUAGUACUUUUUCAAGGCAUCUUGAGAAAGUUAAAGAUUUAUUGGUUAUGGAUGGGGAUGCGUUCCAUUAGAUAGUUGGUGAGGUAACGGCUCACCAAGUCUUCGAUGGAUAGGGGUUCUGAGAGGAAGGUCCCCCACAUUGGUACUGAGACACGGACCAAACUCCUACGGGAGGCAGCAGUGAGGAAUAUUGGUCAAUGGGCGAGAGCCUGAACCAGCCA
This 373-nucleotide ribosomal RNA is filed under the name uncultured Bacteroidales bacterium. RNAcentral's name for it is "bacterial SSU rRNA". It matches the Rfam family "Bacterial small subunit ribosomal RNA", at positions 22 to 394 of the family's 1533-position model. The record is from RNAcentral. Lineage: Bacteria; Pseudomonadati; Bacteroidota; Bacteroidia; Bacteroidales.